RNAcentral lists this long non-coding RNA (202 nucleotides) under Dasypus novemcinctus (nine-banded armadillo). RNAcentral describes it as "lncRNA (ENSDNOG00000052126.1)". The record is from RNAcentral. Lineage: Eukaryota; Metazoa; Chordata; Mammalia; Cingulata; Dasypodidae.
CUUCCCAGAAGUGGUCUGAAAUCUCUCUUCAGAUCCCCGCCGUGCAGGUGGGGAGGUUGAAAUCUGUUCUUCAGACCCCCUCCAUUGGGAGAGCUUCCCAAUAAACUUUCUGCCUGCAAUCAGUCUCUGUGUCCCAGUGAGCACCUCUUUUCUCCAACAGUGGAUGUUGACUUCCAGGGCAACCCUGCAAGAUGUAUGCUGA